RNAcentral lists this transfer RNA (69 nucleotides) under Ictidomys tridecemlineatus (thirteen-lined ground squirrel). RNAcentral describes it as "Spermophilus tridecemlineatus (thirteen-lined ground squirrel) tRNA". It matches the Rfam family "tRNA". Rfam says of the family: Transfer RNA (tRNA) molecules are approximately 80 nucleotides in length. Their secondary structure includes four short double-helical elements and three loops (D, anti-codon, and T loops). The record is from Rfam by way of RNAcentral. Lineage: Eukaryota; Metazoa; Chordata; Mammalia; Rodentia; Sciuridae.
GGGAAUGUAGCUCAGUGGGAGAGUGCUCACCUUGCAUGUGGAAGGUACUGGGUUCGAUCCUCAGCACCA